RNAcentral lists this non-coding RNA (46 nucleotides) under unclassified sequences. RNAcentral describes it as "ssNA-helicase RNA". It matches the Rfam family "ssNA-helicase RNA". Rfam says of the family: Firmicutes, Actinobacteria (1 example). Downstream gene The record is from Rfam by way of RNAcentral.
UAGCCUAAGCCAGUAUUACCUUAGGCUACUUCUGUAGCGUUUAGCA